This 254-nucleotide ribosomal RNA is filed under the name uncultured bacterium. Its description in RNAcentral is "partial 16S ribosomal RNA". It matches the Rfam family "Bacterial small subunit ribosomal RNA", at positions 524 to 776 of the family's 1533-position model. The record is from RNAcentral.
UACGUAGGGCGCAAGCGUUGUCCGGAUUUAUUGGGCGUAAAGAGCUCGUAGGCGGCUUGUUGCGUCGGCUGUGAAAACCCGUGGCUUAACUGCGGGCUUGCAGCCGAUACGGGCGGGCUGGAGUUCGGUAGGGGAGACUGGAAUUCCUGGUGUAGCGGUGAAAUGCGCAGAUACCAGGAGGAACACCGGUGGCGAAGGCGGCAUCCUGGACCAACACUGACGCUGAGUGAGCGAAAGCCAGGGGAGCAAACGGG